Molecule: long non-coding RNA, 234 nt
Filed under: Manacus vitellinus (golden-collared manakin)
Lineage: Eukaryota; Metazoa; Chordata; Aves; Passeriformes; Pipridae
Description: lncRNA (ENSMVIG00005005070.1)
Source: RNAcentral
GUGGCCUGCCUUUAAGAAGGCAUUCACUGCCUACCUCUGAGAGAUAGAAGAGGAAGGGCAUUUCUAUACAAGACAAUUUGAAGACUUCAGAGAGCGCUGGGGGAUCUCUUUGACUCUUGGCAGUGAACAGACUAAACUGAGAAGUACAGAAGUGUGAAAAAAAUUGGGAACUUUCUUCUCGUCCUUUUAUCCUUCAGAAAUCUGACUAUCUGCAAAAACAGAAGAAAAAUCAAA